ACAUCUUAUUCAAAACAAAAACCAUUAUCCAAAACCCUAAUUUAUCUACCUCCACCACCAAUCUUCUGUACCGCCGUAUUCAAUCUUCAUCAGAUUUGCAAUCUAAUUCAACUGGUUAUAGGGUUCAAUAAUUAAUAAGCCUAUUACUAGGGAAUGCAGAUCCAAAAUCCGCCUCACUUUUAUCUUUUAACCCUUUUUCGCUUCCUCUUCUAUCUGUUUCUUUCUCUUUCCAAAACACCACCACCAUCUGUGAUUCUUUAGGGUUUGCAAUUUGGUGCUUUAUGAAUUUCUUUGUGCAAAGGGGAGUAAAUAAAGAGACGCAAUCAUUUGAAAAUCCAGUUUGAUUUGGGUUCUUCUCAAGAGUUACAAAGAUGCUUAUAUUGACAGUGGUUCUUGAAGUUCUUGGUUUAUGUUGGAUGUCGCCAAGGGGGAGGAGAUUCUUGGUCGAAUCAAACAGAAUAUGUUUUCUAUAGAUUGUGGAUGAUUGGGUGAAACAACUUAUUCGUAUCUCGGUGUACAAAAAUAAGAUGGUUGAAGAUGAAUAUGUGGUCGGUCAUAUAUACUUUUGGUUCACAUGAGCUUGGGCAAGUCUUAGUAAAGAUUAAAGAAUAAGGGGCUGUUUGGUAGUCUCUUAAUAACCAUUCAGAUGCUACAUCUUAAUGGUUUAGAACCUCUGAAUGAAUAAGAGGUAACCUCAAGUCUGAAUGGUUAAGAGGUAACCUCUGAAUGGUAAAUCAUCACAUGUCACAUUCUUCUACAUUCUCAUUGGUAAAAUUCUUAAUGGUUCCAUUAAGAGGUAGCCUCUUAAUGACCAUUCAGAGGCUACCAAACAGCCACUAAAAGUAAAUAACUGGUGAGGACUUUAGUCUUUAAUAAAUUGGUUGUGUAAUCUCUAAAUUCGAAUGGUAGGUUCAUGGUCCUAGGGUAGAUAUUGACACCUUAUGUGUGGGGCCUUCUUAUGUGAAUCGAGAUGUAAGAUAUUUGUAAAAUUAAGAGAUUGUUUUUCAUGCAUACAGUCAUAACUCGCGCCACGCGCCACAUAUUUGAUAUUUAUCAGGAGGAUUUUUUUCUUUGUUUUGCACGGCAUAUUAGUCCCCACAAAACACCUUCACUGAGCGGCAAAACAGGGAUGGCGGCACCUUCACCGAGCGGCAAACCCUCACCCUGCACACUUUCCCCGCUCCACCACGUUCACCCUUAAGUGGAAUGGAGGAAGUUAUUGAACUUCAACUACUUCCAGAUGCUCAUGCUCCAGUCAUGAAGUUCAAGUUUGAUGGAAUAAAUCUCAAAUUAUAGAAUAUAGAUACAAUAUUGGUGGCAUGAUACCUCAAGGCAACACGUGACAUUAGGGGAAACCAACCUGGUGAUUAGAGGUUAGUAGCAUCAAAACCAUUUAGUUUUGAAUUUCGCUUUAAAAUAGAGUUCUUUUUUAGAAUAAUCAGUUUAUAUUGCCUGCUUUUGAAAUAAGAGAUCGAUACUAACACUCUAAAAUAAUCUAAUAAUCAGUUUGGUGAUAAUAUAAAAGUCAAAUUAUGUGUCUUCCAGGAGUUUCAGGGUUGUUUUACGCAUAUGUUGCCAGUUUAGGGAAGACUAAAAUAGUGGUUCAUGAUGACUCUGCAUCUAUUGUUUUAUUCAUGUUUAUGUUAUAAACCCUUUGUAUUUUAUGUUUUGUUAGGUUGAUUUUGAUAUAUUUAUGCAAAAAGGAGCUUUAAAGAGAGUGAAAAAAGUCGAAUCAACAGUCUGUGUAAUGUAAUCUUUAAUACUAUGACUUGGAGAUAAAGUUUUUGCAAGGCCUUUUCUCAUUAUUACAUAUAUCGUAAUAUGUAAUUUAUCAGUGAGAAGUAGUUAUAGAUAAAUGAAUAAUGUGUUCUUUUUAUUUUGUUUUGUUUUUCCUUUAUAAUGACUUUUUCAUUUGUAAACAUACAAUACGUUGACGUUGACAUUUGGGUCAUAUUUACUUUAUUCGAUAUUUAAUAUUUUUCUUCAACCUGUGUAACACACGGGUCAAUAACCUAGUAUAAUAAUACAAUAAUAGAAUAUGUUACUAACAACGAUUAUAAUCUAAUAUAACUAUAUAAAGCAUCUCUGAUGGAUAGAAAUGUAAUUUAACAUCACAUACAAAUUUUAUAACAACAUGUACAAGAAAAUAAAGUAUUUUUAGAGGGGUUAAACAUGUAUUUUGAGGAAAGUUUUAAGACGUCUUGGGGCUAAAAUAGAGAAAUCCUCCUCCCGCAUUUACUAUCCAGGUUACCAUCGUCUCUUCCAAUUUCCAAAUCCCACCACAACCCUAAUUGAAUGUUGCACUUGAAGUGUCGUGCGUUUCCAUCCCACCCACUCAAUUUUAGGUUUAGCGUUUCCUUUAUUAAUUCAAUCAUCCCCUUGAUUUUGAUGUAUUCACUGAGAAGAUUGAAAGAGCAAUCAAGAGCCAAAGAGUCGUCCGAGAGCACCUUCAUCUGUCGUCCUUGGAUUCUUCAAUCUCUGUAAUUUUAUUCUCACCAAGCUGUUUCUUAUAUGUUGUUAUUUGAUUCAGCAAUUAGCAUAUAUGUUUGGGGAUUUUGCCCUUUUCUUCUAUUGUUGAUGAUUUUCUUCGUUAUCCAUACUGUUUACAAUAACUGUAGUUUGCAAUUGAUCAUGAUGAUGAACAAAAGAAACUGUUGAUGUUGAAUGAUGACGAGUCCACACCAAAAGAUAAAGGUUAUGGUUGGGGACCAAAAUAUGGGAAUUAUUGGAUUAAUCAGGUUAGUAUGUCAUAGUAGUUGGUGUUAUGUGCUUGAGAUUUGUUUAUUGUGCAGAAUUUUGCUGGAAAUUUCAGGAUUUUACCGGAAUGUUGUCGAAAUCUAACCAAAAUCCGACUGAAAUCUCGUUUGAAGGUCGCCAGGGAUGAAAUCUAAAACUAGGAAACAACCUUAACACACCAUCUUUUAAAGAAUUCAGUUUCUCCAUAUCCCAAUAAGUCGUUCAACAACAAUUUUCUUUGAAACACAAGAGUUGAUUAAUAAAAUGGAAAUGAAAAUAGUUUCAGUAAUAUGGGAAAAUGUUUAAGAAUCCAUAUUGAAAACGAUGAAACUGUGAUUACUAGGGCUAUUCUCAACAUGCCCAUCACAAGAGCCAGCAUCAUCCGUGAUCCCACUUGAACCAGAAGAAACCUGUAUCAGGUUUGGAGCUGCCUACAUUGGUUGCAGGGUAUGAGAAGAAGCCGAUAUCACAGCUUUGAUCGUCCAUUCAUUUGAAGAAACAUAACAGAAUGAAGGAGGUAUCUUCUUCUAAUCUUGAUGUGUUAAUCAAACACUAAAUUUAAUCAGAAGAAUGGUAAACCCGAAAUAGAUGAAAGGUGGGUAUGAAAAUUAUCUGAUUAACAAACAACACAAUAAGUUGACCCGUCAAUUUGACAAGCCAAAACUGUGUGUGACCGUCUCUGGCCCUCCCCAAUCUGUUUUGUUCCCUGAGCCAGGUGUACACACAUCAUUUGGGUGGUCACAGCUGAACCAAGAAAACUCAAAAAUCAAGAGUUCCCUCAAAUUCGAAUAUAGCCCCUGAUUUCAAUCAAUAUCUUGGUUGAACGGGUCAUACAUCUAUCUUCAAAAUUACUAAUUCUGGUACCAGCAUCAGGUAAGUAUUUUGUGUGCUCAUUAAAAUUUAAACAUUAUACAUAAUUUAAGAAAUUAGAAAAAAAUAUAUAGAUAUAAAAUACAAGAAAGAUUAACGCAUGCAAUUGCAAUGUGAAAGGUUGUAGUCUAUUUUGACCCUCAAUUAUUUCAUGCAUAUGAUAAAAUAGUUGGUAGACAGGGACGCUACCCCUCUAGAUCAACAUAUAUAAAUAACAACUAACAAUAUUUUAAUCUUCAUGUUGUCGUAAUCCUUUAAUUUUGAGAUCCCUCGGACGUGAGAAAACUCAAGUGGAAAUAUAAAGAAGCAUUUACCAAACACGAGAAGGAAAAUAAGCACACAGUUGAAUCAUGGAGAAAAGCACUAGAAAAGGCAAGCAUCAUUUCUAGAAAAGGCAGGUAGCAUUUAUGAGGGGGGAAAUUUUCAAGUUAAUUGUAACUUCAAAUUUGGAUCCGAAAAACAAUAUCUUAGUAUGAAAUUUCAUUAUAAUUUUUGGCAGUCUUAUUGAAUACAAAAAAAAUGUAAACAGGUGCAUGUGAA
This is a long non-coding RNA of Helianthus annuus (common sunflower), 4146 nucleotides long. RefSeq lists it as uncharacterized. The record is from RefSeq and is a predicted model, not a curated record. The transcript has 5 exons. Lineage: Eukaryota; Viridiplantae; Streptophyta; Magnoliopsida; Asterales; Asteraceae.